UACAGAGGGUGCGAGCGUUAAUCGGAAUUACUGGGCGUAAAGCGCACGUAGGUGGCGACGUAAGUCGGGUGUGAAAGCCCCGGGCUCAACCUGGGAAUUGCAUUCGAGACUGCAUUGCUGGAGUACGGAAGAGGAGGGCGGAAUUCCCGGUGUAGCGGUGAAAUGCGUAGAGAUCGGGAGGAACAUCAGUGGCGAAGGCGGCCAUCUGGACCAGCACUGACGCUGAGGCACGAAAGCGUGGGGAGCAAACAGG
Molecule: ribosomal RNA, 253 nt
Filed under: uncultured bacterium
Lineage: Bacteria
Description: partial 16S ribosomal RNA
Rfam family: Bacterial small subunit ribosomal RNA
Source: RNAcentral